CAGUUCCUCAGCUGAAUGGAAUUGUUCUCCUUUCAAGUCCCACCAAGAAAUGUAUUUAGGAAAUGAAAGACCAGCAGUCUGGUUUGGGCUCUGCUACAAAACUUCCGUCCCCGUUGGCACCAAGCUCUGAGUGCUCAUUUGGAAAAACAGCAACCCUUAUCCACCCAAUGGGGAUUCCUGAGCCUUGAUUUAUUAACAACUUGCUGGGUUCAAGUACACCUCAGCCACACCCUCUGACAUCCUCUACUAUUUAUUUGAAAUGUCCUUUGUGAUAAAACCCAGGCAACCUCGCCCUAGAAGGCCGAGGCUGCGCGGUUAUCACGGCCUGAGCGGAGCCUGCUCUGGUGGGGCCAGAGGAGACCAUAAUUGGAGGUUUUAUGGUUUUCUGCCACACUCCCAGCCCUGCAGCUGGGUCACCAGAGGUGAAGGUAAAUGGGAAAUGUGUCUGUGUUGUAGCUACCCUGGCAGCUCCUCUGGCUACGCGAGGCCUUGAACGUUUCACGAGGCAACAGAAGAAUGUUAAACACUCCCCUCCUCUCCCUCCUCAAGUGUCCCUUUGCUGCAAUUUUAUUAUUGUCAGAGAACGGUUCAAAGCUGUGGAAAGUGAUUGGAGUGUAAACAAAGUUUCAAACUUUGCUGCAGGAAUGCGUGUCUGCCCUGAGCUGAUGUGAAACCCUAGGUCUGAAUACCCCUCAAAUCUGGAUUCUUUCCAGAUCUAAAUUCUGCAUCGAGGUCCAGGGCGAGCAAUACCGAUAUCUGGAUUCACAAGCCAGCAAACAUGUAAACUAAACAGAGUUCCAAGUCCAGGACAGAAAAUUUCCACACUCCCCACUUAACCAAGCCCCUCUCUGUCUGAGCAGCCCUGAGGAUUAUUUUGCAUCGUUGAAGCAGCACAAAACAGCUCAGAGAUAAAAUGGACUUGAUGCAGGGACUGGGGUCCACAGGUCAGUUCCCAAUCUUAAGAAAAAGGCUGUGGAAGGAGAGCAGAAAUGGCAAGCCCUGAAGAAAAUCACCAGUCAAGGAAAAGGCUGGAUUGUGGGAACAACCUAAAAUGGCUUUUCCUUUGGGAUCUCAGCUGCAGUGACAUUGCUGGCUGCUCCAGAGGGCUCGGUGUCUUUGGGUCACGGAGCUGCCUUCUGGAAAACAACAGCUGGAACCAGAGAGGAGGAUGAACCACAGGGAGGAGGAAGGUCCUAAACAUCCUGCUUGCAGACUCUGCAGAGCAAGGCAAUGCAGUGCAGCCCAGCAGAACACACAAAUUCCAUCAGUGUUUUCAGAGAACUGCAUAUCAGAGUAGAUGAAGGAAACAAGUUUCACUCUGUGUAACUUUUUUAUUAUCGGUAAAAAGAAUGGAGCAUUACAUGGGUGGAGUGGAUGGAAAGGGGAUGGAGAACAGUCAAAUGUUCUUGGCAGUGAUUAGAAAAGGGGAAAGAAAACUGACACUUCUUGAUAAACUGUCUCAGAGCUGAGAUGCCUUUGGGUUUUUUUGCCAAAAAAUGUUAAAUGAAGUAGAGUGGUCUUUUCCCUCUGCAAUGAUAAUUUUUUAAAAAUGCAGAAAACCCCAUUCACAUUCCCACAUGCCCUUAUGCUGAGUGCUUUCAGAGCCAGUUCUCAUCAAAGAAUACAUUGGAACAAUCUAUCUCUGCUAUGCUCAAAGAAGUUAAUAAAACAGCCCAAAAGAGGAGACUUUUUCCA
This is a long non-coding RNA of Cyanistes caeruleus (blue tit), 1695 nucleotides long. The record is from Ensembl. Lineage: Eukaryota; Metazoa; Chordata; Aves; Passeriformes; Paridae.